UCCACUGUCAAGUGGUCUGUUAAAUGUGCUGACAUGAUCACACUGCAUUCUGACAGAUUUAGGAGCCUGCCGGGCUUCCCACCCAUGCUCUUUCUCUCUCAGACACACACACAAAGUCUCAUUCACAUUUCGAACUGUGUGGACCAUGCAGGCACUACGUUUGGCUGUGCAAUAGACAACCUGAAGCUUCUUUCACCCUUAGUUAACCAGUUACUGUUAUGCAGACAGAUAGAUAGAUGACUUGCAGAUCACCAGAUGGGUAACAAUCAUUUUCUUUGCAUUUGUGCAGAGAUCUGUAAAUGGCUCAACCUCGUGGCCUGAAAAGUGCAGUGAGUAGGGUUACUGCUGGGGUGCCCUGCUCCUACAGCUUUGUCACCCUGAAGGGUUUUGAAAGCUGUGAGUACAAGGCUGGAGUCCCCAGAAGCCAGUGCUCUGGCUCAUCUGUCGAGAGACUCUCUAUCAGAGGGAAGAUCGUAUGGGGCUGGAGCCUCUGGAGUGCACAUGCUGGUUAAUAUAUCCUUGCAGAGGAAGUGUAGUCAAUUCUCUGCAAACGGUCAUCCGUCCCACCAGCCAAUAAUAUCAGGUGCUGAAAAAGUCCCUCCAUAUAAAUUAUCCUAUAUUAUCUAGCCAUCCUUUACAUUGGCCAGUACAGGAGCAGUAUGCUUGCCAGCUGUUCUCCCAAGUUUCCCUCAGCAGCAGCAUCCACAUCAUCAGUCUAAAGCAGCAGUGGCCUCCGAGAUGACACACAAUGUGUUCUGAGGAAGCACAUUUUACCCAGAAAAAUGAGAUAAUUCACUGAAUUCUCCCAAAGUGAGAGGACAAUGGGUUUCAAAAGUCCCCCUCCCCUCCCCUUUUCUUUUUCCCCUUGCUCUUUUAAACAUACAGCACUGGCUGUGAACACUGAGCUCUUGCUGCUUUUCAGGGAUGUGGUUUUGUGCUAUUAAUAAAGAAAGGCAGAAACGCUCAAUGAUUUCUGUUAAUGCAGAGUGAGGUGUGUGCUUGGCAAAAAAAAAGAUGCAGUUCAGGCGGAUUUGGGGUUUGGUUGCGUGCGUGUGUAUAUACAGAGAUAAAUAUAUAUACAUAUACGUUAAUGAGAAAAGGAAGAGGAAUUACCAUUUUGAGGGGGAAGUUGAGGGUCUUUUUAAACUGCUUCCCAGGGCCUUGUAAAGAAAAGCUGAGUGGGAGAAUAGGUAUUUUCCUCAAACCUUUCUGACCCCAGUGGUUGAAUUGUUGGCUUUGUUUUGUUUUCAUUAGAAUGUAGGAGAACGACGAAUUCCCAGCUCUUCUGCACUUAUCCCAUGUGGUUCAAGUAAUCAUGAUGCUGUGUGUGAAGCCACUGUCUAGAUUUCACUUUUGACCAGACACAUUUCAGUGGAAGCAAACUGCCCAUUCUAUGCUGCAGCUGCAGCCCCCUUCACCCAUCAUUGCCUUACAACCAGCCACUGUGCCUGGCCACUGCCGGGCUGCUCCACCCAGCACAGCCUCUUCCAUGGAGACCAUGGGGUACAGGCAAAUGUGGCCAGCAACCAGCUCCAUCAUCCAUGCGUGAUGCCAGAGGGGGAGUACAUGGAAGGCAGCUUCUCCUGGAGGAAGUGGGGAUGCCCCAGGAAGCUCCUGGGGAGGCAGCAGCACGUGCCACCGCUGCUGCCGUGUGCUGGACACAGAGGGACGGCUGGCUGGGAAGGUGGGGGAAGGAGGAGGGGAGAGAUGCAAACAGAAACAUCACUGCUGAAAUCUUUGCCAUCUGGCUUUAAGAAGAUGAACAGACAAUGUUGGUUGUUUUUUGUUGUUGUUGUGUGUUUUUGUCUUUUUUCUUUAACUGACAGAAAUUUAGUAGUUUUUUUUUGUUUGUUUGUUUGUUUUCUGUUUCUGUUUUUUUUUGUUUUGUUUUGUUUUGUUUUAUCAGCAUCUUUAACACAGCCUCCUAAACUCCCUUCUCCUACUCAUCCCCUUUGCUUGUCUAUGCAGAGCUAUUAAAGGCUUAUAAUGGAAAUAUUUUUGCAUCUAUGUAGUGGAAAACACCCGUUCAAACCGGAUGUUUGAGAUCACAGGGACUGACCCAGAAUCUGCACUGGGGCAGACAUGAAAGCAUGAAAAUUUCAUUCACAAAGGUUUUCUGGGACCAGCUCUUUUCUGCCUCAGCAGAGUCACGCACAUGCUGGCUCAGACGCUCCCACAGCGCUUCCAGCGCGGAGCCAGUUGCUUUCAAAGUUAUGCAGGGCUACAUCCUUAAUGGACAGAGGCCAUGAGCACGACUGGGAACAAUUACCAGCUGAAUAAGACGUUCAUCUGCGAGGGGUGCGCUUCUGCCAGCUACUACCCUUGGACGGCCCAGGGAGCGAGAGGCACAGUCAGUCCCACGCCUACUUGUUUUCCUUCCCUCCGCUGCCACGGUUUCGACUGAUUUUGAUUACCCUGGCGCCAAAUAAAUGAAAACAUUUCAUAGACAUAUAAUCACCCGUCACUGCGAAGAAAGGAAAAAUGCUUGUGUACCGCGUGUUUAUAAAUACGCCUAAUGAAAAAGGGAGAGCGCUGCCCUUCCCAGCCUCGUGUCACGUCGGGAAAGCCAGCCGCUGCUCGCGUCCCAGCACGAUCCGGGGGUGCCACGGGGGGAUGCAUUGCCCUGCCCUCUCCCCCCUGCCCAGGCUGUGACGUUCGGUGCGGGGUGUGAGAGGUUGGCCAACACAUGACAAGCUUAUUAAGUGAUGUGAGCAGAGUGCUAUUGCUUGUGACUGGACCUCUCAUCAGCCCAGACUCCCAUCCUGUGACUCACCAGUACUUCUUUCCCUUAGGAGUGCAGCCUAAAAGGAAAUUCACAUCCCAGUUAACUCUCGUUAGCUUUCUACAGUGUAUCUCAUCCCACUGACAACCAUGCAUAAACUGAGCACAUUUUUGUAAGAGAAUACAUUUAUUACAGCACUGCCUCCACACUGCAUUAUCAGACGUGCUGAUGUUGGGUGGAAGAGUGGCCAAACAUAGGAUGAUCGACACAUAAAGCAAGACUGAAGCUGCUCUUUAUGGAGCACCCUUGCUACACCCCAUCCUGCUUUCAGCAUUUCAGUCUGUUAUACAAGUAAAGGUGUGGAUGUUUUGUGGGCAGGAAGACAGCAGUUUCUGGGAAAACAAAUGCCUUCUUUGCUUGCUGAAGAGACUUUGCUCAACACAAAAACAGACCUGAUGCAACAGCUACCAGCUGCUUAAGAGAGUGAGGAUGGGAUCAGCUCCAGUCGUGCCUGCCACUAAAUGGCCAUGUGUGGGUAGGUGCCUGGCUCUUUGCUGGCCUGUAGGUAAAGACCUUCAAAUACAGAUACUCUUACAGCCACAUCAGAUUUUAUUGUAAUCAAAUGAGGAUACAUUCUGGGGAUUUGGGAUGUAUUUUUUUACUCUGACAGGGCCCACCAGGACAGUCACUGAAGUGGUAGAGGUGUGCUGUGGCUGGCAACGCAAGAAACUCAAGCAUUGUUUUGCAGGAUGUGCCUAAACCUCAGCUGCCCUCCACUUCAACUUAGCAUAUCUCCAAGCCAGCAAUUAACACAUCCAAGGAUUUCACAUUGAGGAAAGGGGAAAACCCAGACUUUGCCAUAAAUUCAUAUGGAAGAAAAAGCAAGCAAAUACAACAUGGAAAAAUGAGGCAGAUUCUCACAGUCCAUUCUCCUUCAUUUAAGGCCAGAUGAACAACAGCACUCCUCUGCUUUAUUUAGUGGAAAGUGAUGAGUUGCUUUGAAAAAUGUCACCAAAAGCAUCCAAAAAUGUAAACAGUGGAACAUAGUUGACGACAGUAUCUACACAGUCCUGCUGAAGUGUCUAAAAACAAGAAACCAAAGAGACGGUGAACCCUGGAAAGCUCUCCCCCACUCAUGAGUAAUCCCACUGAUUCUAGUAAAACAUCUCACAUGAAGAAACGUAAGCAUGUUACCUGUUUUACUGUGCUUGCUUUGUGAUUUUAUCGAUGGAAGUUCAAACUCAGCCCUUGCAGAUUUAAUCCAAGUUCAAUUCUUGCCACUGUUUUGUGUUAUUAUUUAUCCAGCUUGAUCUGGUUCUCUCUUUUAUUUUCAGCCAAAUUGGAAUUUGCUGAUGCAGUGAUUGAGAAAACGUACAGUGGUGACA
Molecule: long non-coding RNA, 4107 nt
Organism: Anas platyrhynchos (mallard)
Lineage: Eukaryota; Metazoa; Chordata; Aves; Anseriformes; Anatidae
Source: RefSeq, a predicted model, not a curated record